GAUGAACGCUGGCGGCGUGCCUAAUACAUGCAAGUCGAACGCUGAAAAGAGGAGCUUGCUCCUCUUGGGUGACAUGCGAACGGGUGAGUACCGCGUAGGUACCCUCCUUUGUGACGGGGAAUAACUAGUGGAAACGAUACCUAAUACCGCCUACCAAUGGAAGCGACAGGUCUUCUAAUUUAAAGCGGCCAUUGCGUCACUUCAAGAUGGACCUGGGUUGUAUUAGCUAGUGGGUAGGGUAAUGGCUUACCAAGGCGACGAUACAUAGCCGACCUGAGAGGUUGAUCGGCCACACGGGAACGGAGAAACGGCCCAGACUCCUACGGGAGGCAGCAGUGGGGAAUUUUGGGCAAUGGGCGAAAGCCUGACGGAGCAAGGCCGGGGGAGGGAGGAAGGUCUUCGGAUGGUAAAAUGCUUUUAUAAGGAAGGAAGAGAGUGGUAAUGAAAAAUGCACGUCUUGACGGUACCUUAUCAGAAAGCGACGGCUAACUACGUG
RNAcentral lists this ribosomal RNA (496 nucleotides) under uncultured bacterium. RNAcentral describes it as "partial 16S ribosomal RNA". It matches the Rfam family "Bacterial small subunit ribosomal RNA", at positions 28 to 507 of the family's 1533-position model. The record is from RNAcentral.